RNAcentral lists this ribosomal RNA (318 nucleotides) under uncultured bacterium. RNAcentral describes it as "bacterial SSU rRNA". It matches the Rfam family "Bacterial small subunit ribosomal RNA", at positions 480 to 793 of the family's 1533-position model. The record is from RNAcentral.
UACAGAAGAAGCACCGGCUAACUCCGUGCCAGCACGCCGCGGUAAUACGGAGGGUGCGAGCGUUAAUCGGAAUUACUGGGCGUAAAAGCGCAUGCAGGCGGCCUGUUAAGUCAGAUGUGAAAAGCCCGGGCUUAAACCUCGGAAAUUGCAUUUGAAAACUGGCAGGCUAGAGUCUUGUAGAGGGGGUAGAAUUUCAGGUGUAGCGGUGAAAAUGCGUAGAGAUCUGAAGGAAUACCAGUGGCGAAGGCGGCCCCUGGACAAAGACUGACGCUCAGAUGCGAAAGCGUGGGGAGCAAACAGGAUUAGAUACCCUGGUAG